Molecule: ribosomal RNA, 938 nt
Filed under: Conqueria laevis
Lineage: Eukaryota; Foraminifera; Astrorhizida; Saccamminidae
Description: bacterial SSU rRNA
Rfam family: Eukaryotic small subunit ribosomal RNA
Source: RNAcentral
AAAUCUUACCGGGUCCGGACACACUGAGGAUUGACAGGCGCUUGUAGUUAUAAGAUUAUUAAUUUAUUAAUAAUUAAAUUUCUGCUAUAAAUAUGCUAGUCCUUUCAUGAUUGUGUGAUAGGUGGUGCAUGGCCGUUCUUAGUUCGUGGAGUGAUCUGUCUGCUUAAUUGCGUUUCACUGUGGACAUUGUUAAAAUAGCGUGUGCGCCAUAAUUUCGGUUAUGUGCUGCCUGCUGUUCCAAAUGUCCUGAAGGCAACGAACGUGACCGCAACCUCUUGUUGCCUCUUCCAAAUACUUAUUUUAUAAUUUAAUUUUAUUAUUAAAUUAUUAAGAUCGGUUUAUAGAGGCUAACUAGAGGGACCGCUGACAACUUUUAAAACAGAGGAAGGUUGCGGCAAUAACAGGUCUGUGAUGCCCUUAGAUGUUCCGGGCUGCACACGUGCUACAAUGAUUAUUGCACUGAGCAUCUAAUUUUAUUAAAAGUUCGUUUGGUUUAAUUUAAUAUUUAUAUUAAAUAAAACUAACGACAUUUCCUACUUCGAAAGUAAGUAGGUAAUCAAUUCGAAGUAAUGAUUUCCACCCGCACAUACUAAUGUCUCUUGAUGUAACCUUGCAUAAUCUCUCUUUUUUGAGGGUGCAUGUAUUGUUUUGUUACCUUGGGACAUGUGCUCCAUUAAUUCUUGGUGGGGACAGACCAUUGUUAAUUGUUGGUCUCGGUCUCAACUAGGAAUGCCUUGUACGGGUCUUUGGUUCAACAAACCACCCGGAAUAUGUCCCUGCCCUUUGUACACACCGCCCGUCGCUCUUACCGAUGGACUUCUCUGUGAGUUUGAGGGACUGGCUCUCUUUUUGAGCUAUGGAAACUCAAACGAACAGUGUGGUCUAAAGGAAAGAGAAGUCGUAACAAGGCAUCGGUAGGUGAACCUGCAGAAGGAUCA